RNAcentral lists this ribosomal RNA (253 nucleotides) under uncultured bacterium. RNAcentral's name for it is "partial 16S ribosomal RNA". It matches the Rfam family "Bacterial small subunit ribosomal RNA", at positions 524 to 776 of the family's 1533-position model. The record is from RNAcentral.
UACAGAGGUCCCAAGCGUUGUUCGGAUUCACUGGGCGUAAAGGGUGCGUAGGCGGUCGGGUAAGUCUGGCGUGAAAUCUCCAAGCCUAACUUGGAAACUGCGUUGGAUACUAUCCGGCUCGAGGAAUGGAGGGGAGACUGGAAUACUUGGUGUAGCAGUGAAAUGCGUAGAUAUCAAGUGGAACACCAGUGGCGAAGGCGAGUCUCUGGACAUUUCCUGACGCUGAGGCACGAAAGCGUGGGGAUCAAACAGG